Molecule: ribosomal RNA, 253 nt
Filed under: uncultured bacterium
Lineage: Bacteria
Description: partial 16S ribosomal RNA
Rfam family: Bacterial small subunit ribosomal RNA
Source: RNAcentral
UACGUAGGGCGCAAGCGUUGUCCGGAAUCAUUGGGCGUAAAGAGCUCGUAGGUGGUCUGUUACGUCUGCUGUGAAAUCCUAGGGCUUAACCCUGGGCCUGCAGUGGAUACGGGCAGACUAGAGGUAGGUAGGGGAGAAUGGAAUUCCCGGUGUAGCGGUGAAAUGCGCAGAUAUCGGGAAGAACACCCGUGGCGAAGGCGGCUCUCUGGGACGGUACUGACGCUGAGACGCGAAAGCGUGGGGAGCGAACAGG